Molecule: transfer RNA, 76 nt
Filed under: Akkermansia sp.
Lineage: Bacteria; Pseudomonadati; Verrucomicrobiota; Verrucomicrobiia; Verrucomicrobiales; Akkermansiaceae
Description: tRNA-Phe
Rfam family: tRNA
About the family: Transfer RNA (tRNA) molecules are approximately 80 nucleotides in length. Their secondary structure includes four short double-helical elements and three loops (D, anti-codon, and T loops).
Source: RNAcentral
GGCUCGGUAGCUCAGUCGGUAGAGCAGAGGAUUGAAAAUCCUCGUGUCGGCGGUUCGAUCCCGUCCCGAGCCACCA